CUCGUGGUUCUACGGCGUGGCUCGCUCAUGGGUGCGACGGUGCUUGCGACGGUGGUUUAUUCGACGGGUUUGACUUUAGUGAGGUGAUUUGCCUGUUGUGAUUUCAUGCGCUAGUGUAGCUCUAGCAGAUGCAGGGAUAAUGAUGUAUGACCUUGUAACUUCAGUUUCAGUGGUGUCAUUACAGGUGCUGCAUUGUCCUUUUCAAUGUUUGUUGUUGGUCUGCUGCUUUCAUCUAAUCCUGAUGCCACGGGAGACCUGGUGCAGGUUCCAAGCAUGCUGUUUCAAGGUUCUUUGCUUCUUGGGCUCAUAAGUAGAGCCACUCUUGGUUAUGCGUAUGUCCCUGUUUUCUUUUUCAAUCUUCAUUAUGCCAAAAUAAUAGUUUGUUUAUUAUUCAAAAGAGAUCUUAAUGAGAGCC
This is a long non-coding RNA of Humulus lupulus (European hop), 415 nucleotides long. RefSeq lists it as uncharacterized. The record is from RefSeq and is a predicted model, not a curated record. NCBI's taxonomy places the organism in Eukaryota, Viridiplantae, Streptophyta, Magnoliopsida, Rosales, Cannabaceae. The transcript has 3 exons.